Molecule: ribosomal RNA, 507 nt
Filed under: Triticum aestivum (bread wheat)
Lineage: Eukaryota; Viridiplantae; Streptophyta; Magnoliopsida; Poales; Poaceae
Description: partial small subunit ribosomal RNA
Source: RNAcentral
AUGGUAGUGUGCGUCGAAGGUCUGGGUGUACCCCGUAGAUCUGGGAUGUUCGGGCAUGCGCUGAAUGCUGUUACAUUUGUCAGCGAAGAGAAAAUCGCCGCCAAAUUGGAGCACUUGAAGAAAACGUUCAGGUGGUCGGAUGCUGAGGUGCGCAUUGCUAUUUCUAAGGCUCCAAUGGUGCUGAAUAGGGCUAAGGAGUUUCUGCAGAGAAAGUCAGAGUUCCUGAUCUCUGAUUUGGGGUUGGAGCCGGCAUACAUUGCUCAUCGCCCGGUAAUGCUUUUGUACAGCCUGGAGGGCCGGUUAAGGCCCCGGUGCUACGUUGUGAAGUUUCUUAAGGCAAAUGGAUUGCUAGGUCCUGAUCGAGACUUGUAUUCCGCAGUCGCAUUGAGUGAGAAGUUAUUCAUAGAGAAGUACAUAUGCCCUCACAAGGAAGCUGCACCCUGCUUAGCUGAAGACUAUGCUGAUGCUUGCAAAGGGCUAGUGCCAACUAAUUUCAGAAUUACAUGA